GUGGCGGACGGGUGAGUAAUGUCUGGGAAACUGCCUGAUGGAGGGGGAUAACUACUGGAAACGGUAGCUAAUACCGCAUAACGUCGCAAGACCAAAGAGGGGGACCUUCGGGCCUCUUGCCAUCAGAUGUGCCCAGAUGGGAUUAGCUAGUAGGUGGGGUAACGGCUCACCUAGGCGACGAUCCCUAGCUGGUCUGAGAGGAUGACCAGCCACACUGGAACUGAGACACGGUCCGGACUCCUACGGGAGGCAGCAGUGGGGAAUAUUGCACAAUGGGCGCAAGCCUGAUGCAGCCAUGCCGCGUGUAUGAAGAAGGCCUUCGGGUUGUAAAGUACUUUCAGCGGGGAGGAAGGCGAUGAGGUUAAUAAGCUUGUCGAUUGACGUUACCCGCAAAAAAAGCACCGGCUAACUGCGUGCCAGCACCCGCGGUAAUACGGAUGGUGCAAGCGUUAAUCGGAAUUACUGGGCGUAAAGCGCACGCGUGCGGUCUGU
This 492-nucleotide ribosomal RNA is filed under the name Enterobacter bugandensis. Its description in RNAcentral is "bacterial SSU rRNA". It matches the Rfam family "Bacterial small subunit ribosomal RNA", at positions 95 to 583 of the family's 1533-position model. Lineage: Bacteria; Pseudomonadati; Pseudomonadota; Gammaproteobacteria; Enterobacterales; Enterobacteriaceae. The record is from RNAcentral.